This is a non-coding RNA of Dermacentor andersoni, 2159 nucleotides long. The record is from RefSeq and is a predicted model, not a curated record. NCBI's taxonomy places the organism in Eukaryota, Metazoa, Arthropoda, Arachnida, Ixodida, Ixodidae.
AGCCCACCAAUCGCAGACGCCGGCACCACCCUCUUCAUGCGGUUAUCAAUUUUCAGUGCACUGGCUCUGCCCCAGCGAAUCCCUCUCCACUUGAGCGUUCUCCUUCCCUCUUGUCAACCAAUUAGAUACGACAAGCCACUCAGUGUAGGCAAUGUUAUUUGCUUUUCAAGCAAACAAAAGUGACCUCCUAUGAACGAGGAGAGCGUUCGAUUGGUCUGUUCAGACAACCCUGCGGGUGACCGCCCGGUGCUUGCGUCGGUGGUUACGCAAAUUUGACAUCAGGAGAUUGGAAUAAAAACAUAUUGGAAUAGUUUUACGUUAUAGGGCCCAGUUCAUUGAUUUAGAGCAUCCUGCGGAAUAUUGAAGCGAUAUCAGCUAACACCAGGUCAUCGGGGAACCACUGCGUUAUCGUCGGCUGUACGAAUAACUAUAGAAAGAGGAAGCUGUUGGCUGAACAAACGUGCGACGUGCGUCAACAGCCACGGCGUGUUUGUGGUUGCGAACUCUUCAAGUUUCAUCGUUUUCCUGCUGACCCAGAGCAUCGGCGUUUGUGGAUUUCAAGCGUCAGCAGGAGGAACUUCCUACCGUCCGACAGUUCGCGGGUAUGCUCGGUACGCUUCGUUUCUGGCGAACGUACCGACAUGAACCCGACACUGAUGAGGAGCAUCGGCUAUGAGAGGAAGGUCAAAGUCGGGCGAUGACGCAUAGUGAGAGGCGACUUCGUGCCUACGAAGAGACGAAGGCUUUCUACAAAUGAAGUGGAGUCUGCACAGUUGGAGCCAUGCGCACAUAUUGUUUAUGCAAGUAAUCUCAUGUGCAACAGUACAAGCAUGCGCGCAAGAAAGGGCCAACUUUCUGAACAGGAAGUUACCUCAACUCGGCGCAUCGCAUCAGUACAAAUACAUGUGGAGCGAGCCAUAAACAGAAUGAAGACAUACAAAAUAUUUAAGUCUGCAUUGAGCAUCAAAUGCAAAGACACAAUUCAUAGUAUGAUCUUUGUGUGUGCAGGCCUCUGUAGUUUAAAGGCACCACUAAUUGCAGAGACCAAUGGUCGCACUAGCCAGGAAAUAUAAGCAGUUGUAUGAACAAAUAGUGCAACCCAGGAAAUUCUUUUUACGAGUGUUCAAGCCGCAGAAGUGAACACAUUGCAGAAGUUCAUAAUGGUGCACACAUGAAAAUGUUACUUUAUUAACUUGCAGUGUUUAUUGAUGAAAUAAUUGAAUGGGCCAUAUUAUGUACAAGUGUAGCAUAAAAACACGGGCAACACUGUAGCACAUAGAACACAAAAAACAACUAAUAUUGGAAAAAACUAUUCCACCGAUGCCUCUGGUAAAUAUGUGGCUCUCCUGUACCAGCACAAACACAAAUUUAUUGAAACAUCUGCACAGAAAAGGUUAUAAAAGAACUGGUAAAUGUACUUGAGUGUCAUAGCAACGAAAACGUGUUUAAAAUACAUAAUAUGAAAAUGUAUUCAUUUUCUUUAUUGAAGUGAAUGUUAGGAGAGGUUGGCGCCUUUAUGGUGGUACCGGCUACUCCUUGUCACUUGGCAAACGAAACAAAUUUGCGUAAAAAGGAAGAAUAGCGACGCAAAAUAUAACACUCAGUAGAACACCGGAUCAAUAAAAAAUAUACAGUCCAACAGUACAUGAGUCGUAAAGUUCUGUUCAUUAGUUCAGUCAGAUGUUUUGUCAGAUGUUUUGUCAGUUCAGUCAGAUGUUUUGUCAUAUAAAGUCAGAUGUUUUGAACAGCCAAAACACACAACACAUGUAAUACACUGCGAGUACAGAACAGAAUUAUACAUAUUGCGUAAAAGUUGCGAUCACCACAUAAACCAAUUAUGAACCACGAACAACGUUUAUGUAACUCAUCUAGCGUAUUCGGAUCAUCUGAUACUUAAUAUUUUCCCAAAAUGUUGGUGUCCUCUAAAAACUUUUUCAGAGCAAGAAGUGCUCUUUUCUGAAGGCCCGCAGUUGGCAAUGGGCUAAGUAUCUUUUUAAGAGUGAAUGGUCUUCUGUCUAAUAUAAACAAAUUAGCUUGCAGUACCGUUCUUUGUGUAUCGUAUUUCGUGCAUUCGAGAAGAAGAUGAAGCACAUGUUCGUCUGGAUGGCCACAAGAGCACUGCGGACUAGAGACACGUUUUAUUCUGUACAAGAAGUGUU